UACGUAGGCAGCGAGCGUUGUUCGGAGUUACUGGGCGUAAAGCGCGCGUAGGCGGACCUGCAAGUCGGGGGUGAAAGCCCGAGGCUCAACCUCGGAACUGCCUUCGAUACUGCGGGUCUCGAGUCCGGGAGAGGUGAGUGGAAUUCCUAGUGUAGAGGUGAAUUGUAGAUAUUAGGAAGAACACCAGUGGCGAAGGCGGCUCACUGGCCCGGUACUGACGCUGAGGCGCGAAAGCGUGGGGAGCAAACAGG
This 251-nucleotide ribosomal RNA is filed under the name uncultured bacterium. RNAcentral describes it as "partial 16S ribosomal RNA". It matches the Rfam family "Bacterial small subunit ribosomal RNA", at positions 524 to 776 of the family's 1533-position model. The record is from RNAcentral.